GACGAACGCUGGCGGCGUGCCUAAUACAUGCAAGUAGAACGCUGAAGGAGGAGCUUGCUUCUCUGGAUGAGUUGCGAACGGGUGAGUAACGCGUAGGUAACCUGCCUGGUAGCGGGGGAUAACUAUUGGAAACGAUAGCUAAUACCGCAUAAGAGUAGAUGUUGCAUGACAUUUGCUUAAAAGGUGCAAUUGCAUCACUACCAGAUGGACCUGCGUUGUAUUAGCUAGUUGGUGGGGUAACGGCUCACCAAGGCGACGAUACAUAGCCGACCUGGGAGGGGGAUCGGCCACACUGGGACUGAGACACGGCCCAGACUCCUACGGGAGGCAGCAGUAGGGAAUCUUCGGCAAUGGACGGAAGUCUGACCGAGCAACGCCGCGUGAGUGAAGAAGGUUGUCGGAUCGUAAAGCUCUGUUGUAAGAGAAGAACGAGUGUGAGAGUGGAAAGUUCACACUGUGACGGUAUCUUACCAGAAAGGGACGGCUAACUACGUG
RNAcentral lists this ribosomal RNA (495 nucleotides) under uncultured bacterium. Its description in RNAcentral is "partial 16S ribosomal RNA". It matches the Rfam family "Bacterial small subunit ribosomal RNA", at positions 28 to 507 of the family's 1533-position model. The record is from RNAcentral.